RNAcentral lists this ribosomal RNA (492 nucleotides) under uncultured bacterium. RNAcentral describes it as "partial 16S ribosomal RNA". It matches the Rfam family "Bacterial small subunit ribosomal RNA", at positions 29 to 507 of the family's 1533-position model. The record is from RNAcentral.
AGUGAACGCUGGCGGUAGGCCUAACACAUGCAAGUCGAACGGCAGCACAGUAAGAGCUUGCUCUUACGGGUGGCGAGUGGCGGACGGGUGAGGAAUACAUCGGAAUCUACUUUUUCGUGGGGGAUAACGUAGGGAAACUUACGCUAAUACCGCAUACGACCUACGGGUGAAAGCAGGGGAUCUUCGGACCUUGCGCGAUUGAAUGAGCCGAUGUCGGAUUAGCUAGUUGGCGGGGUAAAGGCCCACCAAGGCGACGAUCCGUAGCUGGUCUGAGAGGAUGAUCAGCCACCCUGGAACUGAGACACGGUCCAGACUCCUACGGGAGGCAGCAGUGGGGAAUAUUGGACAAUGGGCGCAAGCCUGAUCCAGCCAUACCGCGUGGGUGAAGAAGGCCUUCGGGUUGUAAAGCCCUUUUGUUGGGAAAGAAAAGCAGCAGGUUAAUACCCCGCUGUUCUGACGGUGCCCAAAGAAUAAGCACCGGCUAACUUCGUG